Molecule: ribosomal RNA, 103 nt
Filed under: Bos taurus (domestic cattle)
Lineage: Eukaryota; Metazoa; Chordata; Mammalia; Artiodactyla; Bovidae
Source: RNAcentral
GUCUACAGCCAUACCACCCUGAACGCACCUGAUCUCGGAAGUUAAGCAGGGUUGGAACCGGUUAGUAUUUGGAUGGGAGAAUUACCCCCUGUUCUCUGGGAUU